CUCAACCUCUGUAUAGGCUAAAAAGAAGCAGAAGCACCACACAAGAUGUCCCACAGCACGUCCAAGCAGUCCAAGAUCGGACAAGAACUGAAGAAGCACUGGUGGACUGCAUUGUGUCUUCAAAGGGAACAGAGCAGCAUUUAGUGGAUGUUCUCAAUGGGAAACCAUCAAAGUGGUUCCCCCUAAAGCCACGUGUGCCAAUCUUCAUGGACAGUGAGCAGCAGUGUGCCAUUCUUUUUGAACACCUCAAAGCUCUGCUACACAAUUGUAAAACUCAACUGAACUUCACAAAUGAAGUGGAGUUCAUUUGUAGUUUUCUUUUUCCUGAGGCCAUCAUUCAUGGCCUAUGUGAGCUGCAGGCAUUAUCCUGGCAGGAGGCUGAGGAGGUGUUCCUUCGUGGCCCUACUUAUCACCCUAGGU
Molecule: long non-coding RNA, 420 nt
Organism: Labeo rohita (rohu)
Lineage: Eukaryota; Metazoa; Chordata; Actinopteri; Cypriniformes; Cyprinidae
Exons: 3
Source: RefSeq, a predicted model, not a curated record